UACGGAGGGGGUUAGCGUUGUUCGGAAUUACUGGGCGUAAAGCGCACGUAGGCGGAUUGGAAAGCAAGAGGUGAAAUCCCAGGGCUCAACCCUGGAACUGCCUUUUGAACUAUCAGUCUAGAGUUCGAGAGAGGUGAGUGGAAUUCCAAGUGUAGAGGUGAAAUUCGUAGAUAUUUGGAGGAACACCAGUGGCGAAGGCGGCUCACUGGCUCGAUACUGACGCUGAGGUGCGAAAGCGUGGGGAGCAAAC
RNAcentral lists this ribosomal RNA (250 nucleotides) under uncultured bacterium. RNAcentral's name for it is "partial 16S ribosomal RNA". It matches the Rfam family "Bacterial small subunit ribosomal RNA", at positions 524 to 773 of the family's 1533-position model. The record is from RNAcentral.